GAUGAAGAACGUAGUGAAAUGCGAUAAGUAAUGUGAAUUGCAGAAUUCAGUGAAUCAUCGAAUCUUUGAACGCAUAUUGCGCUCUCUGGUAUUCCGGAGAGCAUGCUUGUUUGAGUAUCAGUAAACACCUCAACUCCCUUUUCUUUUUUGAAAUUGGAGCUGGACUUGAGUGAUCCCAACGCUUUCUUCCAAGAAAGUGGCGGGUUGCUUGAAAUGCAGGUGCAGCUGAACUUUUCUCUGAGCUAUAAGCAUAUCUAUUUAGUCUGCCUAAAAAACAGAUUAUUACCUUUGCUGCAGCUAACAUAAAGGAGACUAGUUCUUGUGCUGACUGAUGCAGGAUUCACAGAGACAGCUUCGGCUGACUUUGUAAACUCGAUCUCAAAUCAAGUAAGACUACCCGCUGAACUUAAGCAUAUCAAUAAGCGGAAGA
Molecule: unclassified non-coding RNA, 430 nt
Filed under: soil metagenome
Description: partial contains 5.8S ribosomal RNA, internal transcribed spacer 2, and large subunit ribosomal RNA
Rfam family: 5.8S ribosomal RNA (bases 1-120)
Source: RNAcentral